UACGUAGGGUCCGAGCGCUGUCCGGAAUUACUGGGCGUAAAGAGCUCGUAGGUGGUUUGUCGCGUUGUUCGUGAAAACUCACAGCUUAACUGUGGGCGUGCGGGCGAUACGGGCAGACUGGAGUACUGCAGGGGAGGCUGGAAUUCCUGGUGUAGCGGUGGAAUGCGCAGAUAUCAGGAGGAACACCGGUGGCGAAGGCGGGUCUCUGGGCAGUAACUGACGCUGAGGAGCGAAAGCGUGGGGAGCGAACAGG
Molecule: ribosomal RNA, 253 nt
Filed under: uncultured bacterium
Lineage: Bacteria
Description: partial 16S ribosomal RNA
Rfam family: Bacterial small subunit ribosomal RNA
Source: RNAcentral